ACUGCUAAUACCGCAUAAGCCCACGGGUCGGCAUCGACCAGAGGGAAAAGGAGCAAUCCGCUUUGAGAUGGUCUCGCGUCCGAUUAGCUAGUUGGUGAGGUAAUGGCCCACCAAGGCGACGAUCAGUAGCCGACCUGAGAGGGUGACCGGCCACAUUGGGACUGAGACACGGCCCAAACUCCUACGGGAGGCAGCAUG
This 198-nucleotide ribosomal RNA is filed under the name uncultured bacterium. RNAcentral's name for it is "partial 16S ribosomal RNA". It matches the Rfam family "Bacterial small subunit ribosomal RNA", at positions 159 to 353 of the family's 1533-position model. The record is from RNAcentral.